Long non-coding RNA from Armigeres subalbatus, 649 nucleotides. RefSeq lists it as uncharacterized. NCBI's taxonomy places the organism in Eukaryota, Metazoa, Arthropoda, Insecta, Diptera, Culicidae. The transcript is spliced from 3 exons. The record is from RefSeq and is a predicted model, not a curated record.
AUUAGAUUUGAUUUAUAUUCAUUAUUGCGCAGAUAAACAUAAAUUUCAUAACUCGUGAAAUGAUUUUAAUAUCAUAUUUGAAUAUGAUGUAUUUAGCGUGUUCAUAUGAAGUAUUCCAUAAAGCAAUAGAAAGUAUAAGUUUUGCUUAAUGGCAAAAAUGUAUUCAGCUAAACUUAUACUUUCGUUACGGAUUGGAUUUGAAGAAAAACAUGGCGCUUGAAUGAUUUCGAGUAUAUCAAGUCAAUCAGCAGCUGUGCCUUUUCGGUGAAAAUAUGUAGGAUUUACCGGCAAUAAACACAAGGAGCUUCCGGAGCAACCAUCUCAGCGCAUCGGCCGAUUUUCGCUACCGCUAACCAAGAAAGGGUUCACAAACGUUUGCUCAAAGAAGGGAAAAUGACAAUAUGGUGAACAUGCAGAUUAGCCAGCAGCUUCACCCACUUCUUCAACAUCAUUCGCGGAUAAUUUGGAAAGUGAUCAUAAAACCUCCCACGCAAUACAGCAGAACGGCAACGGAAACGGCAGGAUUGACAGUUUCUGUCGCCGUUCCACUGAAUUGCGUUUGGAGCCUAGUUUGGGGCUUAAAGAGUAAUAAAUGUAUAACCACAUUCAAGUUGUUGAUUUUAUUUAUGUAUCUAGAAAACGUGGAAAA